This 775-nucleotide ribosomal RNA is filed under the name uncultured Neocallimastigales. RNAcentral describes it as "partial large subunit ribosomal RNA". It matches the Rfam family "Eukaryotic large subunit ribosomal RNA", at positions 22 to 639 of the family's 3401-position model. Lineage: Eukaryota; Fungi; Neocallimastigomycota; Neocallimastigomycetes; Neocallimastigales. The record is from RNAcentral.
GUACACGCUGUGACUAGCAUAUCAAUAAGCGGAGGAAAAGAAACUAACAAGGAUUCCCCUAGUAACGGCGAGUGAAGCGGGAAGAGCUCAAAUUUGAAAUCUUAAAGGGUUUCCCUUUACGAAUUGUAGUUUAAAGAAGUGUUUUCUGUUGAGGUUUUGGUAAAAGUUCUUUGGAAUAGGACAUCAUAGAGGGUGAGAAUCCCGUAUUUGACCUUUACUUUCAACUUUGUGAUACACUUUCAAAGAGUCGGAUUGUUUGGGAAUGCAGUCCAAAAUGGGUGGUAAAUUUCAUCUAAAGCUAAAUAUUGGCGAAGAGACCGAUAGCGAACAAGUACCGUGAGGGAAAGAUGAAAAGAACUUUGAAAAGAGAGUUAAACAGUACGUGAAAUUGUCAAAAGGGAAGCGUUUGACACCAGUGUUGUUUUUCUGAAAAUCAAUUAAAGAACUGUUUAUGCUAAGCUGUUUAGACUUUAUCAGCUAUCUGUUUAGUUUUGAGCUUUUCUUUAAUGCACUUUUCAGUUAACAAGUCAACAUCAAUUUCUUUUGCUGUAAAAAAGCUUGAGGAAGGUGGCUUGAGAUUCGUCUUAAGUGUUUAUAGCCUCUUGCCUAUGCAGUCGGAGAGAUUGAGGUCUGCAGCGUAGAUCCUUCGAGGCUAAAUGCAUUUGUGCUAAGUUAUAGCAUUUUAUAGACAACUUGUUGACUAUGAUUUGUCUUGUAGCUUACUCGCUUAUGUUAUUUUACCUACGCUUAGGAUGUUGACGCGCGUGUGUGCGUG